GAUGAACGCUGGCGGCGUGCCUAAUACAUGCAAGUCGAGCGAACAGACGAGGAGCUUGCUCCUCUGACGUUAGCGGCGGACGGGUGAGUAACACGUGGAUAACCUACCUAUAAGACUGGGAUAACUUCGGGAAGCCGGAGCUAAUACCGGAUAAUAUAUUGAACCGCAUGGUUCAAUAGUGAAAGACGGUUUUGCUGUCACUUAUAGAUUGAUCCGCGCCGCAUUAGCUAGUUGGUAAGGUAACGGCUUACCAAGGCAACGAUGCGUAGCCGACCUGAGAGGGUGAUCGGCCACACUGGAACUGAGACACGGUCCAGACUCCUACGGGAGGCAGCAGUAGGGAAUCUUACGCAAUGGGCGAAAGCCUGACGGAGCAACGCCGCGUGAGUGAUGAAGGUCUUCGGAUCGUAAAACUCUGUUAUUAGGGAAGAACAAAUGUGUAAGUAACUAUGCACGUCUUGACGGUACCUAAUCAGAAAGCCACGGCUAACUACGUG
This 497-nucleotide ribosomal RNA is filed under the name uncultured bacterium. Its description in RNAcentral is "partial 16S ribosomal RNA". It matches the Rfam family "Bacterial small subunit ribosomal RNA", at positions 28 to 507 of the family's 1533-position model. The record is from RNAcentral.